Long non-coding RNA from Zingiber officinale, 611 nucleotides. RefSeq lists it as uncharacterized. The transcript is spliced from 4 exons. The record is from RefSeq and is a predicted model, not a curated record. NCBI's taxonomy places the organism in Eukaryota, Viridiplantae, Streptophyta, Magnoliopsida, Zingiberales, Zingiberaceae.
UUCUCUCCCAAAUCUCGCACUCACGUUUUCUACUUCGUCGGCGCACACGAACGAUUUCUUCUCCGGCUGCACACACACGAUUUCUCCUCCGGCUUGCACGUGAUCUUCUUCUCCGGUCCCAAAUCAAGCACGGCUUUAAGACAGGCAUGGCUCUGACUUAAGGGGCAAGCGAUCUUCUUCUCUGUCUCCAAAUCACGCACGCACAACCCUCCGGCUUAAGGCGCACACGAUCUUCUUCUCCGGCGUUCUUUCUACGAUCCACUGAACAAGCUUAAGCUCAGGUACUAUAAAGUAUAAACCAUCAUACCAAGAGUUAUUCAUGCAAACUGAUACAAGCAAUGGUCAUGAUUCAACAAUUUCUGCUUGUGAAAAGGGUUAUAUUUCUGACUACCAUCGAUUUGGAUGGCUAUGAUUUUUAGCUCUCUGCAUACAUGCACUUGGACGCUUCAAGGAUCUUGUGGCAUGUACUAAUGGACUAGUUUCUAUACUGGCUAUACUUAUUCUCCAUUAGCCCAAGCAUAUCAGGAAAUUUAGUAUUCAAGACUCACCAAUCUUUGCUAAACGGUCAGAUAAGGGAGUCAACCUUUUAGCUUCUCUAUGCUAGAAAAUAU